GAAAUGCGAUAAGUAAUGUGAAUUGCAGAAUUCAGUGAAUCAUCGAAUCUUUGAACGCACAUUGCGCCCUCUGGCAUUCCGGAGGGCACACCUAUUCGAGCGUCAUAU
RNAcentral lists this ribosomal RNA (108 nucleotides) under Ascagilis sunyatsenii. Its description in RNAcentral is "Jahnula sunyatsenii partial 5.8S ribosomal RNA". It matches the Rfam family "5.8S ribosomal RNA", at positions 50 to 154 of the family's 154-position model. From Rfam's summary of the family: 5.8S ribosomal RNA (5.8S rRNA) is a component of the large subunit of the eukaryotic ribosome. It is transcribed by RNA polymerase I as part of the 45S precursor that also contains 18S and 28S rRNA. Functionally, it is thought that 5.8S rRNA may be involved in ribosome translocation. Lineage: Eukaryota; Fungi; Ascomycota; Dothideomycetes; Jahnulales; Aliquandostipitaceae. The record is from RNAcentral.